This 497-nucleotide ribosomal RNA is filed under the name uncultured bacterium. Its description in RNAcentral is "partial 16S ribosomal RNA". It matches the Rfam family "Bacterial small subunit ribosomal RNA", at positions 28 to 507 of the family's 1533-position model. The record is from RNAcentral.
GAUGAACGCUGGCGGCGUGCCUAAUACAUGCAAGUCGAGCGAACAGACGAUGAGCUUGCUCCUCUGACGUUAGCGGCGGACGGGUGAGUAACACGUGGAUAACCUACCUAUAAGACUGGGAUAACUUCGGGAAACCGGAGCUAAUACCGGAUAAUAUAUUGAACCGCAUGGUUCAAUAGUGAAAGACGGUUUUGCUGUCACUUAUAGCUGGAUCCGCGCCGCAUUAGCUAGUUGGUAAGGUAACGGCUUACCAAGGCGACGAUGCGUAGCCGACCUGAGAGGGUGAUCGGCCACACUGGAACUGAGACACGGUCCAGACUCCUACGGGAGGCAGCAGUAGGGAAUCUUCCGCAAUGGGCGAAAGCCUGACGGAGCAACGCCGCGUGAGUGAUGAAGGUCUUCGGAUCGUAAAACUCUGUUAUUAGGGAAGAACAAAUGUGUAAGUAACUAUGCACGUCUUGACGGUACCUAAUCAGAAAGCCACGGCUAACUACGUG